RNAcentral lists this unclassified non-coding RNA (398 nucleotides) under Kitagawia baicalensis. RNAcentral describes it as "partial external transcribed spacer". The record is from RNAcentral. Lineage: Eukaryota; Viridiplantae; Streptophyta; Magnoliopsida; Apiales; Apiaceae.
CAGGUAGCAUUCCUCUUUGCUGCCGGCACCGCUUGAGCAACAGGACGUAGACAGUCCUAGAGUCAACACGGGGCACGUCAGGCUUCCAUAAGGGACAAUUGAUUCGGGCAAAAGAGGGACAAAGGACCCCGACCGAUCAUGCAUCUACAUACAAGACUUCGAGCGACACAUGGGCGUCCGAUGCUUGCAACCUAAAUAAGUGAAGCAAGGGCGAACGUCCAUAAGAGCUUCAGGGUCUACGUCGCACAAAACAUUUCGCACGAGAUAGAGUAGAGGCCAUGGGACUAGAGAAUUCCAUCAAAAUAGGUAUCCUGCACAGGGGGCCAAGCCAAUCCAAGGCCAAACGUUUAGCACUCGGACAGAAUUGAACAGGUUUGAACCAGCGGUUGUCGCUGCCA